RNAcentral lists this long non-coding RNA (1333 nucleotides) under Schizosaccharomyces pombe (fission yeast). Lineage: Eukaryota; Fungi; Ascomycota; Schizosaccharomycetes; Schizosaccharomycetales; Schizosaccharomycetaceae. The record is from RNAcentral.
CCAAAAAAAAAAAUUGAUUCGUUGGACAUUUGUUGUCAAGAUGCUUUUGUUUUGCUUAUGGUAGCAUUGAAUCCUGUUUUUUUUUUUGUCUUUUCAUUUCAAUAGUUUUUAUUUUCUUGUUUUAGUAUUUCUUUCCAAACUAUUUGGUUUUUGUUAUUCCGUUUUUUCUAUUUCGCUUUUUAAAGUAAUUUCGUUUCUUUUCCUCUAUUGUUUUCGUUUCUUUUCUUUCUCUCUGUGCUUUCAUACUUUUUGCGAAAAGAAAUAAAAAAAAAAGUAAACAAAGCAUGGACAGCAUAGACAACAGAUAAGAAGGAUGAAAAACCCUCUACUUACCAACAUAACGCAUCAUAAACCCAUUACAAUGCAAUUCAUUACAAUCCAUUACAUGGAAACGUGGCAGGAUGGAAGAAAUCCACAAUAGCAAUAGGGUUGAUUUGUGACGACAAGAGCCGGGAAGGAGAAGAGGAAAUUUUCCUUCUUGACUACCGUGAAUAGAGGAGGCAGACAGUAGAGCCAGCAGCAGCAUCGGCGACGGUAUGCAAAGGACGGUAGAAAGGAAAUUAAGGUAAGCAGCAGGUGGAAGGGUGAAUCAUGAUGACGGGUGGCAGAGAAAUGUAGACGAAUGUUGACGGAGGAGGUAGACGAAUGAAUGUUUUGUUUUGUCGAAAAAUCGUCAUGACAGCAGCGGAUUACAGCGGAAGUGGAUUACAGAGGAAGAAGCAUUACAGAGGUAGGGGUAGGGCAUUAGGCAUUACAGAAGUUGAGCAUCACCAGCGGUAAAAUGGGUUUGAUUGUGCAGGUAGUUUAGUGUAGUGAGCUGUAAGUUGGAACUGUCGAUUUUUACUUUUUGUGUCUUAAUCACUACUCUGUGUGUGUGUGUGUGUGUCAUUCCUCUUUGUGUUAAUUCUACCACUCUAUCUAUUUCUCUCUCUUUGUCUUUCUCUAUCAUUACUCUCUCUCUCUCUCUCUCUCUCCCACCUCUCGUCUCGCCAUGCACAUACCUUAAAGCAAGUUUCCAUCCAUUAUGUAUGGUAGUCCAGCGUAUGUUCGGUAAGCGAAUAUUGCAUGGCGCAUUGCACAACUUUAAGAGUGUUGGAUAACGUUUUGUAUGCAUCCAGUAUGCCAGCACACCUUUGUGACCCAUAAAGAAGCGACGAUGCUGAUUGGUAGACGGCAGUUUGCAAGUAACAUACCAGCCGAGUUUUUUCGGGUAACGAGUAUCGAGACGAGACCGGCAGAAAAGAGUGAUAGGAGAGCAGCGAGAGGCAGGAAGGGAGAGAGAGAAGAGAAGAGAGAGAAGAAGAAGGAGAGGAAUGGAAAGAGGAGGAAAAAG